GCGGGCGUGGCGGAAUUGGCAGACGCACUAGACUUAGGAUCUAGCGCCGCGUGCGUGGGGGUUCAAGUCCCUCCGCCCGCACCA
This 84-nucleotide transfer RNA is filed under the name Fervidicella metallireducens AeB. RNAcentral describes it as "tRNA-Leu". It matches the Rfam family "tRNA". Rfam says of the family: Transfer RNA (tRNA) molecules are approximately 80 nucleotides in length. Their secondary structure includes four short double-helical elements and three loops (D, anti-codon, and T loops). Lineage: Bacteria; Bacillati; Bacillota; Clostridia; Eubacteriales; Clostridiaceae. The record is from RNAcentral.